This is a long non-coding RNA of Exaiptasia diaphana, 339 nucleotides long. RefSeq lists it as uncharacterized. NCBI's taxonomy places the organism in Eukaryota, Metazoa, Cnidaria, Anthozoa, Actiniaria, Aiptasiidae. The record is from RefSeq and is a predicted model, not a curated record. The transcript has 3 exons.
UUGUGUUAUCAUUUUGACUAUUUUUAGUGUCGAGAAGCAGGGUUUGUUCUUCAAGAAGAACUSUUGCGAGUUGUCACUGAACUCCAUAGGAAACAAAGGAAAUACCACACCAUGGUAGCAGAAACCAAGGCAGCUGAAGCCAAACUAAAGAGUACAGAGCAUCAAUUACUAAAAUCAGAAGAAUCAGGAAGAAAGAAUGAUAAAAUGACAAAACAAAAAGAAAAGCAUCAACUWAGGUACUCAGAAAACAAGAGGAAAAGUAUCAAAGCAAAGAAUGAAUACAUUAUGUAUUUACAAGCUACUAAUAAGUUCUUACAGACCUACUUUAACAAGAACUUG